Molecule: ribosomal RNA, 55 nt
Filed under: Fusarium incarnatum
Lineage: Eukaryota; Fungi; Ascomycota; Sordariomycetes; Hypocreales; Nectriaceae
Description: partial 18S ribosomal RNA
Rfam family: Eukaryotic small subunit ribosomal RNA
Source: RNAcentral
UGGAAAGUUAAAGUCGUAACAAGGUCUCCGUUGGUGAACCAGCGGAGGGAUCAUU